GACGAACGCUGGCGGCGUGCCUAAUACAUGCAAGUAGAACGCUGAAGAGAGGAGCUUGCUCUUCUUGGAUGAGUUGCGAACGGGUGAGUAACGCGUAGGUAACCUGCCUUGUAGCGGGGGAUAACUAUUGGAAACGAUAGCUAAUACCGCAUAACAAUGGAUGACACAUGUCAUUUAUUUGAAAGGGGCAAUUGCCCCACUACAAGAUGGACCUGCGUUGUAUUAGCUAGUAGGUGAGGUAAUGGCUCACCUAGGCGACGAUACAUAGCCGACCUGAGAGGGUGAUCGGCCACACUGGGACUGAGACACGGCCCAGACGCCUACGGGAGGCAGCAGUAGGGAAGCUUCGGCAAUGGGGGCAACCCUGACCGAGCAACGCCGCGUGAGUGAAGAAGGGUUUCGGAUCGUAAAGCUCUGUUGUAAGUCAAGAACGGGUGUGAGAGUGGAAAGUUCACACUGUGACGGUAGCUUACCAGAAAGGGACGGCUAACUACGUG
Molecule: ribosomal RNA, 497 nt
Filed under: uncultured bacterium
Lineage: Bacteria
Description: partial 16S ribosomal RNA
Rfam family: Bacterial small subunit ribosomal RNA
Source: RNAcentral